GACGAACGCUGGCGGCGUGCCUAAUACAUGCAAGUCGAGCGAAGAGGCGGAUGGGUGAGUAACGCGUGGGUAACCUGCCCUUAAGUCUGGGAUACCAUUUGGAAACAGAUGCUAAUACCGGAUACUAAAGGAUGGACCUGCGAUGCAUUAACUAGUUGGUAAGGUAACGGCUUACCAAGGCGAUAAUGCAUAGCCGAGUUGAGAGACCAUUCGGCCACAAUGUGACUGUGACACGUCCCAAACUCCUACGGUAGGCAGCAGUAGCGAAUCUUCCACCAUGGACGAAAGCCGGACGGAGCAACGCCGCGUUAGUGAUGAAGGUCUUCGGAUCGUAAAACUCUGUUAUUAGGGAAGCGGUACCUAAUCAGAAAGCCACGGCUAACUUCGUGCCAGCAGCCGCGGUAAUUC
This 408-nucleotide ribosomal RNA is filed under the name uncultured bacterium. Its description in RNAcentral is "partial 16S ribosomal RNA". It matches the Rfam family "Bacterial small subunit ribosomal RNA", at positions 28 to 526 of the family's 1533-position model. The record is from RNAcentral.